RNAcentral lists this long non-coding RNA (295 nucleotides) under Struthio camelus australis. RNAcentral's name for it is "lncRNA (ENSSCUG00000009455.1)". The record is from RNAcentral. Lineage: Eukaryota; Metazoa; Chordata; Aves; Struthioniformes; Struthionidae.
UACCGGGUGGAGAACGUGCUCGAGGACAUCCGCCAGGUCGUCGAGGCCCUGGGCACCCGCGGCGAGAAGGGGGUCCCCAAGUGCAUCCUGGUGGGUCACGACUGGGGUGGGCUCUUCUCCUGGGAGUUUGCUGCCGUCUACCCGGACAUGGUGGAGAAGCUGGUGAUCAUCAACGCGCCUCACCGGGCGGUCAUGACAGAUUUCACCGCCUGCCAUCCCACCCAGCUGCUGCGCUCCAGCUACAUCUUCCUCUUCCAGCUGCCCUGGCUGCCCGAGCUGCUCCUGUCCCCGCACG